AACGCACAUUGCGCCCGCCAGCAUUCUGGCGGGCAUGCCUGUUCGAGCGUCAUUUCAACCCUCGACGUCCCCUGGGGACGUCGGCCUUGGGGACCGGCAGUACACCGCCGGCCCUGAAAUCGAGUGGCGGCCCGUCCGCGGCGACCUCUGCGCAGUACUCCAGCUCGCACCGGGAACCCGACGCGGCCACGCCGUAAAACACCCAACUCUGAACGUUGACCUCGGAUCAGGUAGGACUACCCGCUGAACUUAA
Molecule: unclassified non-coding RNA, 253 nt
Filed under: uncultured fungus
Lineage: Eukaryota; Fungi
Description: sequence contains ITS2
Source: RNAcentral